Molecule: small RNA, 79 nt
Filed under: Salix viminalis (osier)
Lineage: Eukaryota; Viridiplantae; Streptophyta; Magnoliopsida; Malpighiales; Salicaceae
Source: RNAcentral
UGAAGCUACUAAUGAAUCGUAGCUUAUUGUUUGAAUCGCAGGAAAAAAAUCACAUUAAAAUCAUCAUUUUUCAGCUUCU